AAUUAUUUAGUUUAACAUAUAACAUAUGAUUUGAAUUCAUAAGAUAGAGGUAAAUUCUUUUAAUAAUUU
RNAcentral lists this transfer RNA (69 nucleotides) under Muscidifurax similadanacus. RNAcentral describes it as "tRNA-Ser". It matches the Rfam family "tRNA". From Rfam's summary of the family: Transfer RNA (tRNA) molecules are approximately 80 nucleotides in length. Their secondary structure includes four short double-helical elements and three loops (D, anti-codon, and T loops). Further hydrogen bonds mediate the characteristic L-shaped molecular structure. tRNAs have two regions of fundamental functional importance: the anti-codon, which is responsible for specific mRNA codon recognition, and the 3' end, to which the tRNAs corresponding amino acid is attached (by aminoacyl-tRNA synthetases). tRNAs cope with the degeneracy of the genetic code in two manners: having more than one tRNA (with a specific anti-codon) for a particular amino acid; and 'wobble' base-pairing, i.e. permitting non-standard base-pairing at the 3rd anti-codon position. Lineage: Eukaryota; Metazoa; Arthropoda; Insecta; Hymenoptera; Pteromalidae. The record is from RNAcentral.